UAUUGUAUUGCGUUAAACGCGAUGCACAUUCCAUGAGACUUUGUUACGGUGUGUGUGUAAAGACGUAGGACCACGGCGAGGGCGACAGAGUCCCCCAGGCCAUAGAGCUACAGAGGGUGCACAGGUGUGAGUGGAUGUGUAGACAGAGCGUGCACAUGCCCCCGUUUGAGGACCAGCAACAACUCGUGUCGACAGUUCAGUAAUGAUCCUUCCGCAGGUUCACCUACGGAAA
RNAcentral lists this unclassified non-coding RNA (232 nucleotides) under uncultured fungus. Its description in RNAcentral is "sequence contains ITS1". Lineage: Eukaryota; Fungi. The record is from RNAcentral.